This 72-nucleotide transfer RNA is filed under the name Camelus bactrianus (Bactrian camel). It matches the Rfam family "tRNA". From Rfam's summary of the family: Transfer RNA (tRNA) molecules are approximately 80 nucleotides in length. Their secondary structure includes four short double-helical elements and three loops (D, anti-codon, and T loops). Lineage: Eukaryota; Metazoa; Chordata; Mammalia; Artiodactyla; Camelidae. The record is from Rfam by way of RNAcentral. RNAcentral also lists the same sequence under 1 other name.
GAGGGUAGAGCUCAGUGGUAGACGGUGUGCCUAGCAAGCGCGAGGUCCUGGGUUCAAUCCCCAGUACCUCCA